UAAUGUAUGGGGAUCUGCCCGAUAGAGGGGGAUAACUACUGGAAACGGUGGCUAAUACCGCAUAAUGUCUACGGACCAAAGCAGGGGCUCUUCGGACCUUGCACUAUCGGAUGAACCCAUAUGGGAUUAGCUAGUAGGUGGGGUAAAGGCUCACCUAGGCGACGAUCUCUAGCUGGUCUGAGUGGAUGAUCAGCCACACUGGGACUGAGACACGGCCCAG
RNAcentral lists this ribosomal RNA (220 nucleotides) under uncultured bacterium. RNAcentral's name for it is "partial 16S ribosomal RNA". It matches the Rfam family "Bacterial small subunit ribosomal RNA", at positions 111 to 334 of the family's 1533-position model. The record is from RNAcentral.